This 161-nucleotide non-coding RNA is filed under the name pig gut metagenome. RNAcentral describes it as "Lysine riboswitch". It matches the Rfam family "Lysine riboswitch aptamer". Rfam says of the family: Riboswitches are metabolite binding domains within certain messenger RNAs that serve as precision sensors for their corresponding targets. Allosteric rearrangement of mRNA structure is mediated by ligand binding, and this results in modulation of gene expression. The record is from RNAcentral.
UCGAUAGAGGUGCAAAACGCAAAAGUACUCUUCCGCAACGGAAAACGCCGGCGGCUGAGGAAAGGGCAAUUUGCCGAAAUGUACAUCCUUCGUUUUAGGGGUGUAUGUUGGUUUGAUGCAGAAUAUGUAUCAAACUGUCACGCAAGUGGAGAGCUAUCUUG